GGAUGCGAUCAUACCAGCACUAAAGCACCGGAUCCCAUCAGAACUCCGCAGUUAAGCGUGCUUGGGGAGAGUAGUACUAGGAUGGGUGACCCCUGGGAAGUCCUCGUGUUGCAUCCC
This 117-nucleotide ribosomal RNA is filed under the name Ananas comosus (pineapple). The record is from RNAcentral. Lineage: Eukaryota; Viridiplantae; Streptophyta; Magnoliopsida; Poales; Bromeliaceae.